This 392-nucleotide long non-coding RNA is filed under the name Cricetulus griseus (Chinese hamster). Its description in RNAcentral is "lncRNA (ENSCGRG00015040269.1)". The record is from RNAcentral. Lineage: Eukaryota; Metazoa; Chordata; Mammalia; Rodentia; Cricetidae.
CUGAACCUGGGGCUCACCAAUUAGGCAGACUGGUUGGCUGGAGAACCCUGGGAUCUCAGCAUUUGUAUCCCAGACAGUCUUACUGUACUGCCUUAGCUGACCUUGAACAUCUGGCUCCCAAGAUCUUGCUUCAGCUUCCCAAGUCUAUGGUCCCUAGCUGGCCUGAAAUCCUCAGAAAUCUACCUGCCUCAGCCUCCUGAGUGCUGGGAUUAAAGGCGUGGGGGUGGACUUUGAGGUCUCCUAUGCUCAAGCUACUCUCAGCGAGACAGACCACUUCCUGUUGUCUGACUAUCAAGAUAAAGGGCUCUCAGCCCCAGCACCAUAUCAGCCUGCAUGUCACCAUGUGACACCAUGUGAUAAUGGACUAAACCUCUGAAAAUGUAAGCUACCCC